AACCUAGCACACCUGCGGUGUGUACCUGCGGAGGGAUCAUUAUCGAGUGUUUAAAACCCUUUAAAAAAAAAAGGGUUUACCUCCCGUCCUUUGCUGAAGGGCACCCCCCUAAAACUUAGGGGGGGCUUUACAGAAAAACCUUACUUCGGUGUGGUAUAUAACCUACCGGAAUACCCUCAAAAAUUCUUUAUUAUAAAUUGUUCAGUCCGAGAAAAUAUUUUGAAUAAAUGAAAAACUUUC
This 240-nucleotide unclassified non-coding RNA is filed under the name soil metagenome. RNAcentral's name for it is "partial contains 5.8S ribosomal RNA, internal transcribed spacer 2, and large subunit ribosomal RNA". The record is from RNAcentral.